AUUGAACGCUGGCGGCAUGCCUUACACAUGCAAGUCGAACGGUAACAGGUCUUCGGAUGCUGACGAGUGGCGAACGGGUGAGUAAUACAUCGGAACGUGCCCGAUCGUGGGGGAUAACGCAGCGAAAGCUGUGCUAAUACCGCAUACGAUCUACGGAUGAAAGCGGGGGGAUCGCAAGACCUCGCGCGGACGGAGCGGCCGAUGGCAGAUUAGGUAGUUGGUGGGAUAAAAGCUUACCAAGCCGACGAUCUGUAGCUGGUCUGAGAGGACGACCAGCCACACUGGGACUGAGACACGGCCCAGACUCCUACGGGAGGCAGCAGUGGGGAAUUUUGGACAAUGGGCGCAAGCCUGAUCCAGCCAUGCCGCGUGCAGGAUGAAGGCCUUCGGGUUGUAACUAGCUUUGUACGGAACGAAAAGGCUCUCUCUAAUACAGGGGUGA
RNAcentral lists this ribosomal RNA (442 nucleotides) under uncultured bacterium. RNAcentral's name for it is "bacterial SSU rRNA". It matches the Rfam family "Bacterial small subunit ribosomal RNA", at positions 30 to 472 of the family's 1533-position model. The record is from RNAcentral.